Molecule: ribosomal RNA, 621 nt
Filed under: Streptomyces sp. I0
Lineage: Bacteria; Bacillati; Actinomycetota; Actinomycetes; Kitasatosporales; Streptomycetaceae
Description: bacterial SSU rRNA
Rfam family: Bacterial small subunit ribosomal RNA
Source: RNAcentral
AGCUUGUUGGUGGGGUAAUGGCCUACCAAGGCGACGACGGGUAGCCGGCCUGAGAGGGCGACCGGCCACACUGGGACUGAGACACGGCCCAGACUCCUACGGGAGGCAGCAGUGGGGAAUAUUGCACAAUGGGCGAAAGCCUGAUGCAGCGACGCCGCGUGAGGGAUGACGGCCUUCGGGUUGUAAACCUCUUUCAGCAGGGAAGAAGCGAGAGUGACGGUACCUGCAGAAGAAGCGCCGGCUAACUACGUGCCAGCAGCCGCGGUAAUACGUAGGGCGCAAGCGUUGUCCGGAAUUAUUGGGCGUAAAGAGCUCGUAGGCGGCUUGUCACGUCGGAUGUGAAAGCCCGGGGCUUAACCCCGGGUCUGCAUUCGAUACGGGCAGGCUAGAGUUCGGUAGGGGAGAUCGGAAUUCCUGGUGUAGCGGUGAAAUGCGCAGAUAUCAGGAGGAACACCGGUGGCGAAGGCGGAUCUCUGGGCCGAUACUGACGCUGAGGAGCGAAAGCGUGGGGAGCGAACAGGAUUAGAUACCCUGGUAGUCCACGCCGUAAACGUUGGGAACUAGGUGUGGGCGACAUUCCACGUCGUCCGUGCCGCAGCUAACGCAUUAAGUUCCCCGCCU